Molecule: ribosomal RNA, 450 nt
Filed under: uncultured bacterium
Lineage: Bacteria
Description: bacterial SSU rRNA
Rfam family: Bacterial small subunit ribosomal RNA
Source: RNAcentral
GUAGGGAAUUUUCGGCAAUGGGGGAAACCCUGACCGAGCAACGCCGCGUGAAGGAAGAAGGUUUUCGGAUUGUAAACUUCUGUUAUAAAGGAAGAACGGCGGCUACAGGAAAUGGUAGCCGAGUGACGGUACUUUAUUAGAAAGCCACGGCUAACUACGUGCCAGCAGCCGCGGUAAUACGUAGGUGGCAAGCGUUAUCCGGAAUUAUUGGGCGUAAAGAGGGAGCAGGCGGCAGCAAGGGUCUGUGGUGAAAGCCUGAAGCUUAACUUCAGUAAGCCAUAGAAACCAGGCAGCUAGAGUGCAGGAGAGGAUCGUGGAAUUCCAUGUGUAGCGGUGAAAUGCGUAGAUAUAUGGAGGAACACCAGUGGCGAAGGCGACGAUCUGGCCUGCAACUGACGCUCAGUCCCGAAAGCGUGGGGAGCAAAUAGGAUUAGAAACCCUAGUAGUCCU